GUUAUAUGGUCAAGCAUAAAAGUGCAUCUGGUGGAUGCCUUGGCAGCUGAAGGCGAUGAAGGACGUUGUAGCCUGCGAUAAGCCUCGGGGAGUCGGCAAACAGACUUUGAUCCGGGGAUUUCCGAAUGGGGAAACCCACCACAUCCGUGGUAUCUGCACCUGAAUACAUAGGGUGCAGAGGCGAACCUGGGGAACUGAAAUAUCUAAGUACCCAGAGGAAAAGAAAUCAACCGAGAUUCCCUUAGUAGCGACGAGCGAACGGGGACCAGCCCUUAAGCUGGCGGUGCGUUAGUGGAAGUGUCUGGAAAGUCACGCGAUACAGGGUGAUAGCCCCGUACACGAAAACAAACCGUUAGUGAAAUCGAGUAGGACGGGGCACGUGAAACCCUGUCUGAACAUGGGGGGACCAUCCUCCAAGGCUAAAUACUCUCAGCUGACCGAUAGUGAACCAGUACCGUGAGGGAAAGGCGAAAAGAACCCCUGUGAGGGGAGUGAAAUAGAACCUGAAACCGGGUGCAUACAAGCAGUGGGAGCUGGCUGUCGCUUGCGGCGGCUGGUGACUGCGUACCUUUUGUAUAAUGGGUCAGCGAGUUAUUUUUACUGGCAAGGUUAACCGUCUAGGGGAGCCGUAGGGAAACCGAGUCUUAACAGGGCGUCAGCCCCUUGCUUGCAAGGGUAGUCGGUAGGAAUAGACCCGAAACCGAGCGAUCUAGCCAUGGGCAGGUUGAAGGUUGAGUAACAUCAACUGGAGGACCGAACCCACUUAUGUUGAAAAAUGAGGGGAUGACCUGUGGCUAGGAGUGAAAGGCUAAUCAAGCUCGGAGAUAGCUGGUUCUCCCCGAAAUCUAUUUAGGUAGAGCCUCUCGUAUCACCGCCGGGGGUAGAGCACUGUUUGGGCUAGGGGGUCAUCCCGACUUACCAAACCGAUGCAAACUCCGAAUACCGGUGAGUGCAAUCACGGGAGACACACGGCGGGUGCUAACGUCCGUCGUGGAAAGGGAAACAACCCAGACCGCCAGCU
This 1021-nucleotide ribosomal RNA is filed under the name Gammaproteobacteria bacterium. RNAcentral's name for it is "partial 23S ribosomal RNA". It matches the Rfam family "Bacterial large subunit ribosomal RNA", at positions 1 to 1040 of the family's 2925-position model. Lineage: Bacteria; Pseudomonadati; Pseudomonadota; Gammaproteobacteria. The record is from RNAcentral.